CUUCAUAGUCGGCAAACUUAUCGAAAGGUAAGGACGCAAAGCCAAGGGUCUUCUCCAGAAAUGGAAUGACAGCCGGUUGCAUUU
This 84-nucleotide non-coding RNA is filed under the name [Clostridium] fimetarium. RNAcentral's name for it is "Clostridium fimetarium c-di-GMP-I riboswitch aptamer". It matches the Rfam family "c-di-GMP-I riboswitch aptamer". From Rfam's summary of the family: GEMM was predicted in a large-scale screen for bacterial structured RNA regulatory elements. The record is from Rfam by way of RNAcentral. Lineage: Bacteria; Bacillati; Bacillota; Clostridia; Lachnospirales; Lachnospiraceae.